AUGGCCAGCGCGGCGUUCUCGCAUUUUGAUGGCUUGCUGGGCACCGCCGUUGGACGGGAGCACACCCUGGACCUCUCCCAGCUUAUCGAGCCUGGCGACCUCGCAUGCCUUGACGAGCCAUUCAGCCCGGAGGAGAUAUGGGAGGCGGUCAAACGCAUGCCGGCACGCAAGGCGCCUAGACCAGAUGGCUUUACCGCGGAGUUCCUGCGUGCUUGCUGGAGCAUCAUCCAGCAAGACAUUUGGGGUGUCUUUGAGCUGCUAUACGCACUGCGAGGCGUGGGUUUAGCAAGCUUAAUCAAGCGUUGCUGA
This 309-nucleotide ribosomal RNA is filed under the name Triticum aestivum (bread wheat). RNAcentral describes it as "partial small subunit ribosomal RNA". The record is from RNAcentral. Lineage: Eukaryota; Viridiplantae; Streptophyta; Magnoliopsida; Poales; Poaceae.